This 21-nucleotide small nuclear RNA is filed under the name Arabidopsis thaliana (thale cress). RNAcentral's name for it is "snRNA_10848". The record is from RNAcentral. Lineage: Eukaryota; Viridiplantae; Streptophyta; Magnoliopsida; Brassicales; Brassicaceae.
AGUUUGCCAUUUCGAGCAUGU